CGAGUCCAUGGCUCGAAGCCUUCUGUCAAUACGUCGACCGAUCCACUAGCCCGACAUCCAAUCUUCUGACAUGUUCCUUCGGCACAACAUGAUUUUUCCUGCUUUAAUUAUCUCAUCCUGAUCGAAGCAUCCUACGUCACACAAAACACAGAUUAAAUUGUAAACAUAUAUCAAGUGGUUUCAUCAUCAAAAUACGAGAUUCAACAAUCUUUCCCUUUUUGAU
Molecule: long non-coding RNA, 223 nt
Filed under: Musa acuminata (dwarf banana)
Lineage: Eukaryota; Viridiplantae; Streptophyta; Magnoliopsida; Zingiberales; Musaceae
Description: long non-coding RNA (MACU_LNC009413)
Source: RNAcentral